GAUGAACGCUGGCGGCGUGCCUAAUACAUGCAAGUCGAGCGAACAGACGAGGAGCUUGCUCCUCUGACGUUAGUGGCGGACGGGUGAGUAACACGUGGAUAACCUACCUAUAAGACUGGGAUAACUUCGGGAAACCGGAGCUAAUACCGGAUAAUAUAUUGAACCGCAUGGUUCAAUAGUGAAAGACGGUUUUGCUGUCACUUAUAGAUGGAUCCGCGCCGCAUUAGCUAGUUGGUAAGGUAACGGCUUACCAAGGCAACGAUGCGUAGCCGACCUGAGAGGGUGAUCGGCCACACUGGAACUGAGACACGGUCCAGACUCCUACGGGAGGCAGCAGUAGGGAAUCUUCCGCAAAGGGCGAAAGCCUGACGGAGCAACGCCGCGUGAGUGAUGAAGGUCUUCGGAUCGUAAAACUCUGUUAUUAGGGAAGAACAAAUGUGUAAGUAACUAUGCACGUCUUGACGGUACCUAAUCAGAAAGCCACGGCUAACUACGUG
This 497-nucleotide ribosomal RNA is filed under the name uncultured bacterium. Its description in RNAcentral is "partial 16S ribosomal RNA". It matches the Rfam family "Bacterial small subunit ribosomal RNA", at positions 28 to 507 of the family's 1533-position model. The record is from RNAcentral.